RNAcentral lists this ribosomal RNA (2996 nucleotides) under Chloroflexota bacterium. RNAcentral describes it as "Chloroflexi bacterium (freshwater metagenome) 23S ribosomal RNA". It matches the Rfam family "Bacterial large subunit ribosomal RNA". Lineage: Bacteria; Bacillati; Chloroflexota. The record is from RNAcentral.
UGUAGGUCAAGCUACUAAGGGCCGACGGUGGAUGCCUUGGCGCCAAGAGCCGAAGAAGGACGCGGUAAGACUGCGAAAAGCCCCGGUGAGCCGUCUAACGGGCUAAGCCGGGGGUCUCCGAAUGGGGCAACCCCGCCGACUGAACGUCGGCGACUCCACGCUGAAUCCAUAGGCGUGAGAGAGGUAAGUGCGGGAACUGAAACAUCUUAGUACCGCGAGGAACAGAAAACUAUUCCGUCAGUAGUGGCGAGCGAACGCGGAAGAGCCUAAACCCGAAGGAUUCAGUGGACUGGGUCCUAUAUCUUUCGGGGGUUGUAAGAACGGCACGCAGGUCCCAGGCCUGCAGCAGAGUUAUCAAUCCAAUCCCUAGCCGAACGCUCUGGAACGGGCGACCGCAGAGGGUGAUUGUCCCGUAGGCGAAAGGGAGCGGACUCUGGCCGGUUUCUUGAGUACCACUGGGUAUCCGUGGUGCCUGGUGGGAAUCUGGUGCGCCCACGUACCAAGGCUAAAUACUCUUGGCGACCGAUAGUGAACCAGUACCGUGAGGGAAAGGUGAAAAACACCCCGGGAGGGGAGUGAAAUAGAUCUGAAACCGUCGGCUUACAAGCGGUCAUAGGUCCGAUUUAUCGGACUGAUGGCGUGCCUAUUGAAGAAUGAGCCAGCGAGUUACUGCAUGUGGCGAGGUUAAGGGACUGGAGUCCUGGAGCCGUAGCGAAAGCGAGUCCUAAAUGGGCGAUCAGUCGCAUGUAGUAGACCCGAAACCGUGUGAGCUACCCAUGGCCAGGGUGAAGCGAGGGUAAAACCUCGUGGAGGCCCGAACCUAUGACACGUGCAAAUGUCUGGGAUGAGUUGUGGGUAGAGGUGAAAUGCCAAUCGAACACGGAGAUAGCUGGUUCUCCCUGAAAUGUAUUAGGGUACAGCGUCAAGCAGUAACUGCGGGAGGUAGGGCUCUGAAUGGGCUAGGGGUCGUAAGAUUACUAAACCCAAUCAAACCACGAAUGCCCGCAGUGGAAGCUUGGCAGUGAGACAGUGGGGGAUAAGCUCCAUUGUCAUGAGGGUAACAGCCCAGAUCAUCAGUUAAGGCCCCAAAGUAAUGGCUUAGUGGAAAAGGAUGUGGAUUCGCUCAGACAGCCAGGAUGUUGGCUUAGAAGCAGCCAUCAUUUAAAGAGUGCGUAAUAGCUCACUGGUCGAGGGAAUCUGCGCCGACAAUGACUCGGGGCUCAAGCCAUUCGCCGAAACUAUGGGAUGCAUCGGGAAACCGGUGCAUCGGUAAGGGAGCGUUCCCAGCGCGUCGAAGUCAGCUCGUGAGGGCUGGUGGAGUGCUGGGAAGUGAGAAUGCUGGCAUGAGUAGCGUGAAUCCUGGUGAAAACCCAGGACACCGGAAAUCUAAGGUUUCCUACGCAACGUCAAUCGGCGUAGGGUUAGGCGGACCUAAGUCGAGGCCGUCAGGCGUAGACGAUGGACAGCAGGUCAAUAUUCCUGCCCCGCCUUUGAUUCGUUCGAUGCCGAGAGGGAGAGCAGAAGGAUAGGCAGAACGCACCCACUGGACAUGGUGCGCCCCCGAUCGUAGGAGAGUCGGCCGCAGGCAAAACCACGGCCGGCGCUACCACCUGAGGAGAGGGGAUAGUCUUGGGUUCGCCCAGGACCAGUUUGCUGAGUCCAUGCUGCCGAGAAAAGCCUCGCGGCUAGAGUCAGAGGCGACCGUACCGAAAUCCGACACUGGUAGAUGAUCUGAAAGCAGAUAAGGUGGACGAGAGAACCCUCGUUAAGGAACUAGGCAAAAUUACCCCGUAACUUCGGGAAAAGGGGGGCCCCGCUGUGUGAAGGAGCAUGCCUCCGUAGCGCGGCAGGGCCGCAGGUAAUCGGCUCGGGCGACUGUUUAGCUAAAACACAGGUCUGUGCCAAAGCGUAAGCUGAGGUAUACGGGCUGACGCGUGCCCAGUGUCGGAAGGUUAAGGUGAGGGGUGUAUGCCCUGAACUGAAGCCCCGAUGAACGGCGGCCGUAACUAUAACGGUCCUAAGGUAGCGAAACCCCUUGUCGGGUAAGUUCCGACCCGCAUGAAUCGCGCAACGACUUGAGCGCUGUCUCAACGAGGGACUCGGCGAAAUUGAAGUACCCGUGAAGAUGCGGGUUACCCGUAGAUGGACAAAAAGACCCCGUGAAGCUUUACUGUAACUUGGCAUUGAUUCGAAACGACUGCUGCGUAGGAUAGGUGGGAGGCUGCGAACCUUCACUUGCGGGUGGAGGUGAGCCAACGGUGAAAUACCACUCUUCGGUUGUUUUGGGUCUACCUUGCUCUAUGAUCUAGAGCGAAAACAGUGCCUGGUGGGCAGUUUGGCUGGGGCGGCCGCCUCCCAAAAAGUAACGGAGGCGCCCAAAGGUUCCCUCAGGGCGGAUGGUAAUCGCCCGUCGAGUGCAUUGGCAUAAGGGAGCUUGACUGCGAGACCUACAAGUCGAGCAGAUGCGAAAGCAGGGCAAAGUGAUCCUACGGCUCCUCGUGGUAGGGCCGUGGCUUAACGGAUAAAAGCUACUCCGGGGAUAACAGGCUGAUCGUGCCCAAGAGUUCACAUCGACGGCACGGUUUGGCACCUCGAUGUCGGCUCGUCGCAUCCUGGGGCUGCAGGCGGUCCCAAGGGUCCGGCUGUUCGCCGGUUAAAGCGGUACGCGAGCUGGGUUCAGAACGUCGUGAGACAGUUCGGUCUCUAUCCUCUAUGGGCGCAGGAGAUUUGAGGGGAGCUCUCUCUAGUACGAGAGGACCGAGAGGGAUCAACCUCUGGUGUUCCAGCUGUCCUGCCAAGGGCAUAGCUGGGUAGCCAUUGUUGAGAAGGGAUAAGCGCUGAAAGCAUCUAAGCACGAAGCCCCCCCCAAGAUGAGAUCUCCAGUUGGAGCAAUCCAAGUAAGACCCCAGGAAGACUACCUGGUUGAUAGGCGGCAGGUGUAAGGACAGCAAUGUCUUCAGCUAAGCCGUACUAAUCGGUCGAGGGCUUGACCUACA